This 515-nucleotide ribosomal RNA is filed under the name uncultured bacterium. RNAcentral's name for it is "bacterial SSU rRNA". It matches the Rfam family "Bacterial small subunit ribosomal RNA", at positions 28 to 526 of the family's 1533-position model. The record is from RNAcentral.
GAUGAACGCUGGCGGCGUGCCUAAUACAUGCAAGUCGAGCGAAUAGUAGAGAGCUUGCUCUCUACUAUUAGCGGCGGACGGGUGAGUAACACGUGGGCAACCUGCCUAUAAGACUGGGAUAACUUCGGGAAACCGGAGCUAAUACCGGAUACGUUCUUUUCUCGCAUGAGAGAAGAUGGAAAGAUGGUUUCGGCUAUCACUUAUAGAUGGGCCCGCGGCGCAUUAGCUAGUUGGUGAGGUAAUGGCUCACCAAGGCCACGAUGCGUAGCCGACCUGAGAGGGUGAUCGGCCACACUGGGACUGAGACACGGCCCAGACUCCUACGGGAGGCAGCAGUAGGGAAUCUUCCGCAAUGGACGAAAGUCUGACGGAGCAACGCCGCGUGAACGAAGAAGGCUUUCGGGUCGUAAAGUUCUGUUGUUAGGGAAGAACAAGUACCAGAGUAACUGCUGGUACCUUGACGGUACCUAACCAGAAAGCCACGGCUAACUACGUGCCAGCCGCCGCAGUAAAAC